GGGGCUUUCGUCUGUACACCACCAUAAGGGAGUCUACAGAACUGUAGUUCGCACUGGGCCUCCUAAUUAGUGUGUUGUGUGGUGGUGAGAAGGAUCUGCCCUAUUCAUUCGUUUACCUUAUUGUGAUCGUGUGUUAAGAAGAUGUUACAGAGAGCCGGGAUGAUGAGAGUCGCUGUGGUACUGGUGAUCCAGUUGGGAUACGUGACAGGUGUGCCGCCCAGCAAACCCUACACCUGUCGGGGCCUCAACACCAACCAAGCCUGUGUCCCCUCUGAGCCCCAGGAGUACAACAACGUCGAACCUGCCCCCACUAUUUGAGACUCUCUGGUUGAUCCCGGAAUGAGGGAGGCGAACAA
Long non-coding RNA from Homarus americanus (American lobster), 356 nucleotides. RefSeq lists it as uncharacterized. The record is from RefSeq and is a predicted model, not a curated record. Lineage: Eukaryota; Metazoa; Arthropoda; Malacostraca; Decapoda; Nephropidae. The transcript has 3 exons.